CUACUUUGUAAGACCACUUCAGGCCUUAUUUAUUUGUUUGUUUGUUUAUUUAUUGAGGCUUGCAUGAUUAUGGCAGCACCUGCUCUGUCCAGGCUGGCACAGAGGCACCCGGAGGAGCAGCAUCCCCUCACACCUCAUUUCUUCAGAAACGGGGUGAGCGUGGAAGAGAAGGGGACACCAUGGUGGCAGUGCAGAGCCAGGGCAGAGAACGUUUGCUGAUGCGUUUGUGCAGGAGAAUAUCGGUCUGUUUGGUCAAAUGGGCUUCUGCUGUACAUACAGUGCUGAUGGUGUCCUAAUGGAUGAAGUGGAAAAAUAUUCUUAAAGGGGUACUUUGGCAGACGCAGCCAUUUGGAGUACGGCCUCUCAUGGCUGCAGGCUUGCUGCAAGGCUCGUGCGCCAUAUGGAAGGGAACAUUCCUCGUGGUUCGACGGGCACAAUCGUACCGUCUGCCAGCGGCCUUCUGCAGGCUGCACAGGAGCUGCAGGCAGGAUUGAGGGUUGGCUCCUGAGCUGUGCAGCAUGAUCAGGUGUCAGUUUACAUCAGGUAAGGAUUUGGUCUUUUGCCUUCAGCGUAUUACUACGUGAAAACUGUACCAGCACUUUUCAUUGAGCACCAUUAGCUGACUUUGGUAACCUAUGUCUUGGCACGACCAGCGGGAGCCCGCAGCGUGCUG
Molecule: long non-coding RNA, 673 nt
Filed under: Gallus gallus (chicken)
Lineage: Eukaryota; Metazoa; Chordata; Aves; Galliformes; Phasianidae
Description: long non-coding RNA NONGGAT006917
Source: RNAcentral